This 253-nucleotide ribosomal RNA is filed under the name uncultured bacterium. RNAcentral describes it as "partial 16S ribosomal RNA". It matches the Rfam family "Bacterial small subunit ribosomal RNA", at positions 524 to 776 of the family's 1533-position model. The record is from RNAcentral.
GACAGUGGGGGCAAGCGUUGCUCGGAAUCACUGGGCGUAAAGGGCGCGUAGGCGGGACGCCAAGUCGGUCGUGAAAUCUCCGGGCUCAACCCGGAGGAGUCGGCCGAAACUGGUGUUCUUGAGGGAGGCAGAGGAAGGUGGAAUUCCACGUGUAGCGGUGAAAUGCGUAGAGAUGUGGAGGAACACCGAUGGCGAAGGCAGCCUUCUGGGCCAAUACUGACGCUCAUGCACGAAAGCGUGGGGAGCAAACAGG